This 497-nucleotide ribosomal RNA is filed under the name uncultured bacterium. RNAcentral describes it as "partial 16S ribosomal RNA". It matches the Rfam family "Bacterial small subunit ribosomal RNA", at positions 28 to 507 of the family's 1533-position model. The record is from RNAcentral.
GAUGAACGCUGGCGGCGUGCCUAAUACAUGCAAGUCGAGCGAACAGACGAGGAGCUUGCUCCUCUGACGUUAGCGGCGGACGGGUGAGUAACACGUGGAUAACCUACCUAUAAGACUGGGAUAACUUCGGGAAACCGGAGCUAAUACCGGAUAAUAUAUUGAACCGCAUGGUUCAAUAGUGAAAGACGGUUUUGCUGUCACUUCUAGAUGGAUCCGCGCCGCAUUAGCUAGUUGGUAAGGUAACGGCUUACCAAGGCAACGAUGCGUAGCCGACCUGAGAGGGUGAUCGGCCACACUGGAACUGAGACACGGUCCAGACUCCUACGGGAGGCAGCAGUAGGGAAUCUUCCGCAAUGGGCGAAAGCCUGACGGAGCAACGCCGCGUGAGUGAUGAAGGUCUUCGGAUCGUAAAACUCUGUUAUUAGGGAAGAACAAAUGUGUAAGUAAAUAUGCACGUCUUGACGGUACCUAAUCAGAAAGCCACGGCUAACUACGUG